CAGUCGUACUGUGAAAAUAUUGUGAAAAACCUAAUAUAAAUAUAAUAAUAGUAUUAUAAUUAUAUAGUGAAGUGAUUUUUUAAUAAAAAGCAGUUGUAAACAAACCGCUGCAACUUAACUAAAACUUUUCGUAAUAUAUAUAAUGAAAUAAACGGUGUUGUAGUAAAUUUCAAUAUACACUCUUCUACUUAACCUCAAACAGCAUGUAUGUAUGAGGAACUCCAUGAGACACCACAUCUAGUAUAAGAUGCAUCACUAGUUGGGAAACCAGGAAAUACUUUGCCGGAAAAGUUAAUAGUUGCUUGAAUAAAACUAAUAUUUACUCUAACGACUGGUAGUAAUAAGUAGAGUUUGUAAAAAUGUCGACUGCAGCGCUUGUUCAGCAAUUCGUUGCUGGUCUCAAGUCGCGUAAUCGCAAUGUGCAAAACAAAGCAGCACAAGAUUUAUUCAUGUACGUAAAAACGGAACUGCGUGAAAUGUCCCAGGAGGAUUUGGUAGCCUUCUUCGAUGAUUUCAACCAUCAAAUUUUCAGCAUGGUGAAUUCUGCCGAUAUAAAUGACAAAAAAGGCGCUGUACUGGCCAUAAAGUGUUUAAUCAGUGGCGAUGUAGUAAAUACAAUGAAGCGUAUUUCACCUUACUACAAUCAUUUGCGUACGCUGUUGCCUUCAAACGACACCACUGUAAUGGAAAUUGCGGCGCGUACAUUGGUCAAACUGGCCAACUUGCCGGGAUCGAAAGGCGCUGAAUCUAUUGAUUUUGAUAUAAAGCGUGCAUUCGAGAUGUUAAGCGGUGAUCGACAAGAGUAUCGCCGUCAUGCUGCAGUUUUUAUACUACGUGAACUCGCUAUAGCCAUGCCAACAUAUUUUUAUCAACAAAUUUCCACAUUUUUUGAUAAUAUUUUUAACGCAAUAUUCGAUCCGAAAGCAGCUAUUCGUGAAUCGGCCGGCGAAGCUUUACGUGCCGCACUUAUUGUAACUUCACAACGUGAAAGUACCAAACAAUCAACUGAGCCACAAUGGUAUAAAACUUGCUAUCAAGAGGCGAGCGCUAGUUUUGUAGCCGAACCGACUGGCACAAAAGAUCAAAAAGGCAUGACACGUGAUGAUUGCAUUCAUGGCGGCCUGAUAAUUUUGAAUGAACUCUUCCGUUGUUCACAUGCCGCUUGGGAGCGUCGUUAUGCAACAUUGAAGUCGCUUCUGCCCGAUGCACAGCAUAAUAAAUUUGGCGAAGUUAUACACUCCGGCUCAGUUGGCAGUCAACUAACCACCUUAGUGCCUCGCUUGAAAGCACCUUUUAUAAGUAAGCUAGGUUCCACACACAUGCAUUUGGAUCACGAUGCACAACACGGCGGUACACAUAAAUUUUCAUCGGCUACCGUGCUGGAGUCUGCAUAUUCACGUGAGAUACUCACAGAAAAUUACAUAAACAUUUGCGAUAAUGUGCUGGAACAGCGCACUUCGAAGUCACCCUAUGUGCAGCAAGCGCUCUUACAUAUACUACCACGGCUCGCGGCCUUCAAUCGCGAAGUAUUCGUACAGCGUUAUUUGCAGGAAUGCGUUAGUCACUUACUCAGCAUUGUGCCACGUAAAGAAAAGGAUCGCAACAUUGCUUACGUAACUAUUGGUUAUAUAGCCGUAGCCGUGGAGCGAGACAUUGACAAGCAUUUACGAACAAUUAUGUGCGCCAUCAAAAUAGCUUUACCGCCAAAAAUUACGCCAAGCAAGCGUAAGGCAGCCAUUGACCCAGCAAUUUUCCACUGUAUAACAUUGCUAGCGCACGCCGUCAAAUCCGGCAUCACAGAGGAUGUGCGUAAUAUAUUAGAGCAGAUGUUUUUCAGUGGUCUCUCGCCCGCUUUAACCGUUUGCUUACGUGAACUCGCCGAAAAUGUACCACAUUUAAAGUCGGCCAUUGCUGAAGGGCUCAUACGUGUGCUCUCGCAAGUACUUAUGAACAAACCACUGGCCAUACCCUAUCAAACACUGGCCACCAUACCAUUAGAUCCAUCGAUUAAUCUGCAACAUGAUGUACCCACUGUAGUGUUGGCACUCAAAACGCUCGGCAGUUUCAAUUUCGAAGAACAAAACAUGUUAGAUUUUGUACAACGUUGCGCCGAUCAUUUCAUUAAUCACGAUCAGCAGGAGAUACGUUUAGAGGCUGUACAGACGUGUACACGUCUAUUAAAACUCGCCGUGCAGUCAGCUGAUAGCACAGAGAGUUCAAAUACACUGAGCGAAACAGUGUCGCAUGUCAUCGAAAGACUGCUAAUUGUCGCCAUCACUGAUAUGGACUGCAAUGUGCGCAUACGCAUACUGCGUUCGUUGGAUGAAACCUUCGAUGCUGAGUUGGCGCAACCCGAAUCGCUUAGUGCACUAUUUAUAACAUUAAAUGAUGAAAUUUUCGAAAUACGCGAACUGGCUAUGGUGACCGUAGGGCGGCUGUCUGCCAUGAAUCCAGCCUAUGUUAUGCCUAAGUUGCGUAAAAUUAUGAUACAACUUUUGACCGAAUUGGAGCACUCUGGUAUGAGUCGAAAUAAGGAACAGAGCGCCAGGAUGUUGGAUCACUUGAUAAUCAGUACACCUAGAUUGAUUUCAUCUUACAUGCAUCCCAUACUCACCAUACUUGUGCCGAAGUUACGUGAAGCCGAUCCCAACCCAGGCGUUAUAUUGAAUGUCUUGCGUGCAAUCGGCGACUUAGCCGAAGUGAAUGGCGGUUCUAACGAAAUGGAAAUGUGGGCCGACGAUUUAUUGUCAAUUCUUCUAGAAAUGCUGGGCGACGCUGGUAGUCCGGAGAAACGUGGCGUGGCACUUUGGACACUCGGCCAACUGAUAAGCGCCACUGGUCGUGUAGUCACACCCUAUCACAAGUAUCCCGGUCUGAUUGACAUACUUAUAAAUUUUUUGAAAACCGAACAACGCCGCUCCAUACGUCGUGAAACCAUACGCGUACUCGGUUUAUUGGGCGCAAUGGAUCCGUAUAAGCAUAAAAUGAAUAAAGGUCUAAUUGAUAGUCAAAAGGAUAGUGUGCUUAUUUCGUUGAGUGAUUUCAAAAUGGAUGAGAAUCAAGACAUUUCCACGGCCGAAUUACUUGUGAACAUGAGUAAUGUACUCGACGAAUACUAUCCAGCCGUUGCGAUUGCCGCGCUGAUGCGCAUAUUGCGCGAUCCCACACUCAGCAGUCGUCACACCAGCGUCGUACAGGCCAUUACUUUCAUAUUCAAGAGUCUCGGUAUUAAGUGUGUGCCCUAUUUGGCACAAGUGUUGCCCAGUUUACUGGAGAAUGUACGUACGGCCGAUAUCAAUUUGCGUGAAUUCCUCUUCCAGCAAUUGGCCAUAUUGGUGCAGAUUGUUAAGCAGCACAUCAUCAGCUAUAUGAGUGACAUUUUUAAGCUCAUUAAAGAGUUCUGGACGGUCUAUACGACGCUACAGUUGACGCUGAUUAACUUGAUUGAGCAAAUCGCCUUGGCUUUGGGCUGUGAAUUUCGCAAUUACCUAUCAGAAUUGAUACCGCAAAUUUUGCGUGUGCUGCAGCACGACACCUCCAAAGACCGCGCGGUAACCAAGCGUCUGCUGCAGGCUUUGCAAAAGUUCGGCAAUACUUUGGAUGAUUAUCUGCAUUUGAUUGUGCCGCCAAUUGUGAAGCUCUUUGAUGCGCCAUACGUGCCGCAACAAGUCUCGCUGGUGGCUUUAGAAACCAUCGAUCAUCUCGCAUGGAUACUUGACUUUACAGACUUCUCAUCACGUAUCAUACAUCCGCUGGUGCGCGUACUGGAGGCCGAACCUGAGCUACGCGAACAAGCCAUGUCGACACUUUGCUCAGUGGUCAUACAAUUGGGUAAAAAGUAUCUGGUAUUUGUGCCACUGGUCGAACGCACCAUUACUAAGCAUCGCAUUGUCGACUCGAAAUAUGAAAAACUAUUGACGAAAAUACAAAGUAACACCACUAUGUGCCUAGACGAUGAGUUCCAUAUGCGACAGACCAAAUUUAAAUCCACCGAAUUAGUUGCGCCCAACAGCGGCGGCAAUUUCGCUAUGAAACGACUCAUCGUUUCCACAAGUAAUUUACGCGCUGCCUGGCAGGUGACACGUCGUGUCUCCAAAGAUGAUUGGGUCGAAUGGCUGAAACGUCUAUCAAUCGGUUUAUUGAAGGAAUCACGUUCGCAGGCUUUGCGCGCCUGUCACGUGCUUGCUCAAGAUUAUGAUAAACUACUACGUGAUCUAUUCAAUGCGGCUUUCAUCUCAUGUUGGACUGAACUCCUGCAGGAGCAUAAGAACGAACUCACACAAUCGCUUAUACAAGCAUUGCAAGUGACUGAUAUGCCGGAAAUCACACAAACCAUUUUGAAUUUGGCCGAAUUUAUGGAGCACUGUGACACGGACCCAAUACCAAUAGAGACCAAACUGCUGGGUACACGUGCUAUGGCGUGCCGCGCAUACGCUAAGGCUUUACGUUACAAAGAAGAAGAAUUCCAAACGCAUAAGGAUCCUCAGGUGCUCGAGUCAUUGAUCCUCAUCAACAAUAAGCUACAACAGAAGGAAGCCGCUGAGGGCCUACUAACCACCUAUCGCAACGCCAGCAAUGAGUUCAAAGUACAAGGACGUUGGUAUGAGAAAUUGCACAACUGGGAGCAAGCACUGAAACACUAUUCCGGCAACCUAAAGGAUAACAGUAAUGAUCUGGAGGCACGUUUGGGACACAUGCGUUGCUUAGAGGCAUUAGGCGAGUGGUCUGAGCUCAGCUCUGUGGCCAAACAAGAGUGGGACAAUCUGGGUCGUGACGCAAGAUCACGUGCUGGACCCUUGGCGGCAGUUGCUGCUUGGGGUCUGCAAGAUUGGGAGGCGAUGCAGGAAUAUGUGCGCUGCAUACCGGAGGAAACGCAAGACGGCAGCUUCUAUCGCGCCGUGCUCGCCGUACAUAAUGAAGAUUUCGAGACGGCGCAACGUUUAAUUGAUGGCACACGCGAUUUGCUCGACACCGAGCUCACAUCCAUGGCCGGUGAGUCGUACGAACGUGCCUAUGGCGCUAUGGUUUGCGUACAGAUGUUGGCCGAAUUGGAGGAGGUUAUACAAUAUAAACUGAUACCGGAACGCCGCGAACCAUUGAAGAGUAUGUGGUGGAAACGUUUACAGGGUGGGCAACGUUUGGUCGAGGAUUGGCGUCGUAUCAUACAGGUGCACUCACUGGUUGUGCGUCCUCAGGAAGAUGUACACACUUGGCUGAAAUACGCCAGUCUGUGUCGCAAAUCCGGUUCGCUGCAUUUAUCGCACAAAACACUCGUCAUGCUGCUGGGCACCGAUCCAUCCACACAACCCAAAGAGCAAUUGCCUUACAAUCAGCCGCAAGUCACAUAUGCCUAUACCAAGCAUAUGGCCGCUGCAGAGAACAUGCAAGGUGCCUAUGAGCAACUCAGUUGUUUUGUCAAUGCUUUCCAAGCAAAGUUGAACUGUAUCGGACCAGAGGAAGCAGCGAAACAAGAUCAUCGUUUAUUGGCGCGUUGCUAUCUACGGCUUGGCAAGUGGCAGAACAAAUUGCAGAGCUCGCUGGAACCGGAAAUCGUGCAAGGCGCUUUAGAUUGUUUCGAGAAGGCGACUGAAAAUGAUCCCACCUGCUACAAGGCGUGGCAUCUAUGGGCGUACAUGAACUUCAAGGUGGUGCAAGCGCAGAAACAACAACUCGAUAAGCUAGCGCACACCGCAACGAACGGCGAUAUAUUGCAAGACAAAGAGAAACUUAUCAUUGAGCACGCUGUGCAGGCGGUCGAUGGCUUCUUCCGUUCGAUCAGCCUGAUUAAAGGCAAUUCGUUGCAAGACACACUGCGUCUGCUAACACUCUGGUUCGAUUAUGGCCAGUAUUCGGAAGUUUAUGACGCUUUGCUAACCGGCAUGAAGACAAUAGAGAUUAACACGUGGCUGCAAGUGAUACCGCAGUUAAUAGCGCGCAUUGACACCCAUCGCAAGCUGGUCAAUCAACUGAUACAUCAUCUGCUCAUUGACAUCGGCAAAUAUCAUCCACAAGCUUUGGUCUAUCCACUCACAGUGGCAUCCAAGUCAGCGUCGGUGGCGCGCAAAAACGCCGCCUUCAAAAUACUGGAAUCAAUGCGUAAACACUAUCCGACGCUGGUGCAGCAGGCCAUGACGUGCAGCGAAGAGUUGAUACGCGUCGCCAUAUUAUGGCACGAACAAUGGCAUGAAGGACUUGAAGAGGCGUCGCGUCUUUACUUUGCCGAUCGCAAUGUGAAGGGAAUGUUUGAUAUAUUGGAGCCGUUGCAUGCGCUGCUUGCGCGUGGACCACAAACAUUGAAGGAGACAUCAUUCUCACAAGCCUACGGUCGUGAGCUAACCGAAGCCUACGAGUGGACUCAACGCUAUAAAACUUCAUCCGUGUUGAUGGACUUGGAUCAUGCUUGGGAUAUAUAUUAUCAUGUUUUCCAAAAGAUAUCACGUCAAUUGCCGCAAUUAACCUCACUUGAGCUGCCCUACGUCUCGCCCAAAUUGAUGACAUGCAAAAAUCUGGAGCUAGCCGUACCCGGUUCCUACAAUCCCAACCAGGAUUUGAUACGUAUCGAUCAUAUCAAAACCAAUCUGCAGGUGAUCACUUCGAAGCAGCGUCCACGCAAGCUGUGUUUGCGCGGUUCCAACGGUAAGGACUAUAUGUAUUUGCUAAAGGGACACGAAGACUUACGUCAAGAUGAGCGCGUUAUGCAACUCUUCUCGUUGGUCAACACACUGCUACUUGACGAUCCCGACACGUUCCGACGCAAUUUGGCUAUACAACGUUAUGCCGUUAUACCGUUGAGCACCAACUCGGGCCUUAUUGGUUGGGUGCCGCACUGUGACACAUUGCACACACUCAUACGUGACUACCGUGACAAGCGAAAGAUGCUACUCAAUCAGGAACAUCGUCUCAUGUUGAGCGUCUCACCCGAUUAUGACCAUUUAACAUUGAUGCAAAAGGUCGAAGUGUUCGAAUGCGCGCUGGCGCAAACGCAAGGCGAUGAUUUGGCCAAAUUGCUGUGGCUGAAGUCACCAUCGUCGGAAGUGUGGUUCGAGCGUCGCACCAAUUACACACGCUCACUCGCUGUCAUGUCCAUGGUGGGUUAUAUACUCGGCUUGGGCGAUCGACAUCCAUCCAAUCUGAUGUUGGAUCGCAUGAGUGGCAAAAUACUGCACAUCGAUUUCGGUGAUUGCUUUGAAGUGGCAAUGACACGUGAGAAAUUCCCCGAAAAGAUACCUUUCCGACUGACACGCAUGCUAAUCAAAGCCAUGGAGGUAACUGGCAUUGAGGGUACCUAUCGACGCACUUGUGAAAGUGUGAUGUUGGUGUUGCGACGCAACAAAGACUCACUAAUGGCAGUGCUGGAAGCAUUCGUCUAUGAUCCGCUGCUGAAUUGGCGUUUACUCGAUAUGGACAAAAAUCAUCGCUCCAAAUCGAAUAACGAUCCGGGCGGUUCCGGCAUGGCGUUCGGUGGCGGCAACGGCAGUCUCAGCAACUCCGUCGAAGAACCACUUCUGCACAGUCAACUAAUGAGUGCCAAUCACCUGAUGGGUGGCGCGCUAAUAGUCGCCGACAUAACGAACAGCAAGGCGAGCAAAGUUAUCAAGCGUGUGCGGAGCAAAUUGAAUGGCACAGAUUUCCAAACGCAGAAUAGUGUGGCGGUGCCACAACAAGUGGAUCUGCUCAUACAGCAGGCGACCAAUAAUGAAAAUCUAUGCCAAUGCUAUAUAGGCUGGUGUCCAUUCUGGUAAAGAAUAGCUAACGCUAAUACUAAUGUUAAAAUAUUUAAGAAAUUUGGUGAAAAAAAAAGUUUAUGGAACACUUACGAAAAUUUGUCACCAAUGCAGCAAAGUGUAGCAUACUUUUUGGCGCAACAUGCAAUUGUACUGUCGCACUACACGCCUACAUACACAGGUUUGAAAGUUGUACGCAGUUUUGUUGUGUUUGGAGUAGUGUAGCUGCUUAAACGUCGCUCAAAGCUAGUAAAUUGCCACCGAAGCGUGUAAACUGAUUAUUUUUCUGUAUUUGUAGAUUUGUUUUGAAGUCUUAACAUAGUUUUCACGCCGUAGAGCGCUGAAAUAAAACUGCUUAGAUUUAAAUAAAUAGUAAUUAAUAACAAAAACAAAUAAAAACUUGUAAUUCGUUAUUUCUAAUCAAAAUAUUACUAUACGUAAUUUUAUAUACAUACAUACAUAUAUACGAGUGUACUUUAUGCGCGCAAGAGUCUACGCGACAGACGCGCUCACUUAAGCAUACGUAUUUUAUAAGCAUAUUAUGAAAUAAUAAAAGUGAAAUAGAAAUUAAAAUUUAAUAAAUAAUAAAAAACGUAUAUGCGUACAUACAUAUGUAUAUGAA
RNA transcript from Bactrocera neohumeralis, 8346 nucleotides. It is a transcript of the gene named serine/threonine-protein kinase Tor, with no coding region annotated. NCBI's taxonomy places the organism in Eukaryota, Metazoa, Arthropoda, Insecta, Diptera, Tephritidae. The record is from RefSeq and is a predicted model, not a curated record. The transcript has 7 exons.